ACUCCUACGGGAGGCAGCAGUAGGGAAUCUUCGGCAAUGGACGGAAGUCUGACCGAGCAACGCCGCGUGAGUGAAGAAGGUUUUCGGAUCGUAAAGCUCUGUUGUAAGAGAAGAACGAAUGUGAGAGUGGAAAGUUCACACUGUGACGGUAUCUUCCCAGAAAGGGACGGCUAACUACGUGCCAGCAGCCGCGGUAAUAC
RNAcentral lists this ribosomal RNA (200 nucleotides) under uncultured Streptococcus sp. RNAcentral describes it as "partial 16S ribosomal RNA". It matches the Rfam family "Bacterial small subunit ribosomal RNA", at positions 335 to 526 of the family's 1533-position model. Lineage: Bacteria; Bacillati; Bacillota; Bacilli; Lactobacillales; Streptococcaceae. The record is from RNAcentral.